This is a long non-coding RNA of Equus caballus (horse), 1991 nucleotides long. Lineage: Eukaryota; Metazoa; Chordata; Mammalia; Perissodactyla; Equidae. The record is from Ensembl.
CCCGCCAUCUGGUCUAACAAGCACUCCAGGUGAUUCUGAUGAAGACUAAGGUUUGCUUACCACUGAUUUCUGCAGUGGACUUGCUGGUUUACGCCCUGGGUCUCUCGCCAUAGUAGAAAAGAGAAUUGGAGAGAUAUGGCUGGACAGAGAGAGAGCAGCAAUGGCAAAGAAGGCACUCUUAAUGGUAAGCUGUUUUGUUCAGCCACGGAGUGUGUUUUCUGCUGCAGCAACGUGUUUUAUCGAUGGAUUUCAAACAUGCAGAUGCUACAUUGGUCUCAAGCAAUUUCAAGGUGGAAUUUCUCUCUCCCCUUCCAUCUCAGGCCUCCAGUCAAGGAAUAGAAUGUGGGUUAAAUGCAGCAGAGUUUAUUCUUAUUUUUGAAGACGGUUUAGAAAUAGAAGGCACAUAAAUUUUGGGCCUGUCAUGACCAGACAACGAUAAAGCUCAUUAUCCACAAUAUUUCAUUUAAUCUUCUGGACAGUCCUAUCAGAAGACAUUACAGGUCAUGGGAAAUAUAUAUAAUUUGAAGUUUGGUAAAAUUCAGUGAAGAAAUUAUUCAAGGUUGAGAUGCCUAUUUUAAUUUUUAUGAGCAUGGCUUGCCAAGCGGUGCCAUGUCCACACCCGGGAUCCGAACUGGCGAACCCCAGGCCACUGAAGUGGAAGGUGUGCACUUAACCGCUGCAUCACCAGGCCGGCCCCAGAAGAUUAGCCCUAAGCUAACUACUGCCAGUCCUCCUCUUUUUGCUGAGGAAGCCUGGCUCUGAGCGAACAUCCGUGCCCAUCUUCCUCUAGUUUAUACGUGGGACGCCUACCACAGCAUGGCUGCCAAGCAGUGCCAUGUCCGCACCCAGGAUCCGAACCAGCGAACCCCGGGCCGCCGAGAAGGGGAACGUGCGAACUUAACCGCUGCGCCACUGGGCCGGCCCCAAGCUAAUGCUAUUUUUAAAUUUGAAUGUCAACAAUACAUUAUUAAAUACACUGGAAACACUUAAACCAGAGCAAAAGGCACCACGGAACCAGCAAGGAAAAUUCCUGUACAUGCUUACAGUGUCAUCAAGAAUGAUGCGUAUGCCUUCAACUCAAUAAUAUUUAUGAGAAAAAUCUCAACAUUUCAUUGAGCUAUGUUUUGGGCUGUGAGAGAAAAAUAACUAGAGGCCCACAACCAUUACGUCAAGUCUUACUAAAAGACUUUAGCUCUGGUUUCUACGCUUCCAUAACAUUUUUUUAUUUAACAAUAAUAUUUUUCACCUCCCUUCAAUAUUUCAUGUUCAUUGAUUAUUCUUUCAUCACGACCGCUUGAUCUAGCUUCAUAGAUUUAAUGUUUUCUUGAAUUUGUUUUGUUUCUUACAGUAAAUCUCUUUGAGAUAAAAGUAUUUGUUUUAAUUUUUCAAGGGAGCUUUUGAAUUACAAUACAUUUCCUUGGGUCUAUUGAUUUUCCUCUAAUUAUGUAUCUUUACAAAGAAAUGUCUAGGCAUGCCAAAUAUUCUUUUAUUAUCAAUAAAGUCCAUUUAAGAUGGAUCUCUUGGAAAAUAGACUGGGUCUCUGCCAAAUUCUAAAGCAAGGGAAAAUGGAAAAAAUUACAUUUACUAGAAAUUUCUCCUUCAAUUCAGAUGUCCAGUUUAUUGGCAGAAGUUUAGAGAGGGUCAGAAACAAGAGUAUGCCCAGCAGGGAGUUUCACAUGUAUACGAAAACCUCUUCUCUGUUUUUGCCAUGGAUUCUUAUGUCAGGAAGCAACAUCCAACUCUCAGGCCAGCCCUGCUGCUACUUUCACAGAGAUCGUUGUUUAGCACAGGAGCUUUUGCCAGGAAUAAUUCCUGGGUGAGCCAAGUGAAACAGGUGGAUUCUAUAUUGUGUUGAUUUGGCCAUAUUGUUGAGAGGAAGUCCAGGUGAUAUGCUCUGACUGCCCCACAGCAUGCUUUCCUCUGCAGAUGUGGGCUACCUGAAAUAGGUGGCAUCAAUUUCCUUUCUAGAUGUGCUGCUCUUUUAUUAGAUG